Molecule: long non-coding RNA, 771 nt
Organism: Ananas comosus (pineapple)
Lineage: Eukaryota; Viridiplantae; Streptophyta; Magnoliopsida; Poales; Bromeliaceae
Exons: 3
Source: RefSeq, a predicted model, not a curated record
AAAAAAAAAAAUCUUUUGAGUUGGUGGAUAAGUACCUCACCAACUCCCUCCUGAUGCUUAUCAACUCAACCCAUUGAAAACUAAUUAGCCUUCUCUCUCUAUCCAUCCUUAAUUUAGCUCGUGGGCAAGGUGGAGAGCUCGAGCUCGGGUGGAGUUGCCGUGGAGCUCGGAUCGACGUCGACGUCGCGCCGCGGAGCCGUCCGAGCAUACGUGCGUCGCCGUAGUUUAGCGAGGAGGCCGGGCGAGGGAGUGUUUUCGUCGUUCUCGACGCCGUGCCGGAAUUGGAGUCGCUGGUUGAGGAUCUUGUCGUCGACUGUUAGUAUUUCUGCUCGUACGCGACGUAGGAGCAUUGGAUUUCGACGAGAUUUGGUUCGUUGGAACCGGGACUUCGAGACGAAGAUUCUGAGCCCAAGAUCGCAAUUUUUGGAGCAGGUUCCAGCGUCGACGUUUCGUAUUCUGGCCCGUUCUCUGCGUAGGAGCGUCGGAAUUCAGCGAAACCUGGGCCAUUGGAUUCGUGACUUCGAGACGAAGCUUCAGGACCCUUGUUUGCUGAAUUUGGAUAAGGUUAGCUUGGUCGGAUUUAACGCUUUCUUCGCUGCCAGGAGUUGCUUGAGAGGUGGGUUACAUCGGUUUUUACUCCUAAGUUCAUAUUCGUCGGCAUGUAUAAUUUUCGACCUUUGGAUACUCUAUUCUAGCUCGAAUUCAUGGAUUAUAUUGUAGAUUGCAAAUCUGAAUUUGGAGCAUGUGGUAAUAAAUUAAGUAGGUUAUACA